This 464-nucleotide ribosomal RNA is filed under the name uncultured bacterium. RNAcentral's name for it is "partial 16S ribosomal RNA". It matches the Rfam family "Bacterial small subunit ribosomal RNA", at positions 29 to 507 of the family's 1533-position model. The record is from RNAcentral.
ACGAACGCUGGCGGCGUGCUUAACACAUGCAAGUCGAACGGAAAGGCCCCUUUGGGGGUACUCGAGUGGCGAACGGGUGAGUAACACGUGAGUAACCUGCCCUUGACUUCGGGAUAACUUCAGGAAACUGGGGCUAAUACCGGAUAGGAAUCCUUGCUGCAUGGUGGGGGUUGGAAAGCUUCGGCGGUUUUGGAUGGACUCGCGGCUUAUCAGCUUGUUGGUGGGGUAGUGGCUUACCAAGGCUUUGACGGGUAGCCGGCCUGAGAGGUCGACCGGCCACAUUGGGACUGAGAUACGGCCCAGACUCCUACGGGAGGCAGCAGUGGGGAAUAUUGCACAAUGGGCGGAAGCCUGAUGCAGCAACGCCGCGUGCGGGAUGACGGCCUUCGGGUUGUAAACCGCUUUCAGCAGGGGCGAAGCUUGUGGUGACGGUACCUGCAGAAGAAGCACCGGCUAACUACGUG